This 144-nucleotide non-coding RNA is filed under the name Candidatus Desulfofervidus. Its description in RNAcentral is "c-di-GMP sequence". It matches the Rfam family "c-di-GMP-I riboswitch aptamer". From Rfam's summary of the family: GEMM was predicted in a large-scale screen for bacterial structured RNA regulatory elements. The record is from RNAcentral. Lineage: Bacteria; Pseudomonadati; Thermodesulfobacteriota; Candidatus Desulfofervidia; Candidatus Desulfofervidales; Candidatus Desulfofervidaceae.
UUGGAAAAAGCCAAAUCUACCGUGAGGUAGAGACGGAAAGCCACGGAACUUAAAAACGGUAGAUGGUGGCUGUGAUUAGUAAAAUAGCUAAUUACUAAUUACUAAUUACUAUUUACUGUUUUAAAGUUAGCCGGGUUGCCGAAG